UUCUUCUGGCAGUUCUACUACCUAAAAAUUAGAGCAGUGAAGUCCCAAAUAACAUGAAGUUUGAAGGAUUGAAACAUAAAAGAGGCAUCCAUCUUAUGCAUCAACCAAGAAAAAUCAAUAUUCAUUUGAAGAAGAGAAGAGGAAUUCAUUAAGUUGGGUGGUUAAAUUAAAAUACAGGAAACAACUAAUUAAGAUCCAUUAACUUAAUAUUUAUAACUAAUAAUUGGACUCCAUACUGUAUGCAAAUUGAAAAGAAGAAAGAACAUAAAAGUAUGAAAGAAAACAAACCAGAACCCAUAGAAGG
Molecule: unclassified non-coding RNA, 304 nt
Filed under: Hevea brasiliensis (rubber tree)
Lineage: Eukaryota; Viridiplantae; Streptophyta; Magnoliopsida; Malpighiales; Euphorbiaceae
Source: RNAcentral